Molecule: long non-coding RNA, 645 nt
Organism: Acanthaster planci (crown-of-thorns starfish)
Lineage: Eukaryota; Metazoa; Echinodermata; Asteroidea; Valvatida; Acanthasteridae
Source: RefSeq, a predicted model, not a curated record
UUGUUUCUUGACAAAAAUUUUGAUAAUUAUUUCUGGGCGUGUCGAGUCUAGUCCCAAUGUUUCACCCAGCUAUAAAUGUCACGAACUAGUCAAUUUGGCGCAGGAAUCACGAUCAUGUGAACUUGAGGCUGCUAAGGUGGCGCAUUCGUCUCGUAUUCCCAUCAAACCUAGGCCCUACCUGUGAAUUCUCGAACGGUUGUCAUCGUCCCAAGGGAAUCUGUUCAGUCAGCGAUUGUACGAAAGAGAGCAAAAUGAAUCCAGUCAGACUGGUAUCAGCCUUCUUCCUCGUUCUGGUUGGUAGUAUGUGGACGCAUGUGACUGUUGAGGGCAAGACAGUCUUCCUGGAGCGUGGCCAGCGUGGGAUCGUCCCCUGCUCUGCCGUCCUAUCUCAGGAGUUGUCACCACGCAGUCUGAAUGGAGCCUAUGUUUACUGGUACUUCUCUAGUAUGCAGCCACAGUCCUUGUUGAUCUCCAUCUUUAGAGGGAUAGUUGGGCCCCAAAAUGGGAUUCCAGAGGGCAUCUACGACAUUGACAGGAAUUUCUCCUUGGUCAUCGAGAACGUCACGGACUCAAAUGCAGGGACAUUUUUCUGCCGUAUUAAGCCAAAAGGGGAAGCACAGCAAACAAGCAAUAUAUCAGUUGCCG